Molecule: unclassified non-coding RNA, 52 nt
Filed under: Rhodotorula toruloides
Lineage: Eukaryota; Fungi; Basidiomycota; Microbotryomycetes; Sporidiobolales; Sporidiobolaceae
Source: RNAcentral
GGUGCGCCAUCUCACGCUGAGCGAUCCUCGGCGACUUGGCCGCUUCCGAACU